Molecule: ribosomal RNA, 301 nt
Filed under: uncultured bacterium
Lineage: Bacteria
Description: partial 16S ribosomal RNA
Rfam family: Bacterial small subunit ribosomal RNA
Source: RNAcentral
CAGCAGCCGCGGGAAUACAGAGGGUGCGAGCGUUAAUCGGAUUUACUGGGCGUAAAGCGUGCGUAGGCGGCUAAUUGAGUCGGAUGUGAAAUCCCCGAGCUUAACUUGGGAAUUGCAUUCGAUACUGGUUAGCUAGAGUGUGGGAGAGGAUGGUAGAAUUCCAGGUGUAGCGGUGAAAUGCGUAGAGAUCUGGAGGAAUACCGAUGGCGAAGGCAGCCAUCUGGCCUAAUACUGACGCUGAGGUACGAAAGCAUGGGGAGCAAACAGGAUUAGAUACCCGCGUAGUCCCUGUCUCUUAUAC